UACGGGGGGGGCAAGCGUUGUUCGGAAUUACUGGGCGUAAAGGGCUCGUAGGCGGCCAACUAAGUCAGACGUGAAAUCCCCAGGCUCAACCUGGGAACUGCGUCUGAUACUGGAUGGCUUGAAUUCGGGAGAGGGAUGCAGAAUUCCAGGUGUAGCGGUGAAAUGCGUAGAUAUCUGGAGGAAUACCGGUGGCGAAGGCGGCAUCCUGGACCGACAUUGACGCUGAGGAGCGAAAGCUAGGGGAGCAAACAGG
This 253-nucleotide ribosomal RNA is filed under the name uncultured bacterium. Its description in RNAcentral is "partial 16S ribosomal RNA". It matches the Rfam family "Bacterial small subunit ribosomal RNA", at positions 524 to 776 of the family's 1533-position model. The record is from RNAcentral.